GCGGAGAUAUAUGGAGCUUGCUUUAUUAACUUAGCAGCGAACGGGUGAGUAACACGUAGAUAAUCUAUCCUAUACUGGGGGAUAGCCCGAUGAAAGUUGGAUUAAUACCGCAUAUAGCUAUAUAGUUGCAUGAUUAUGUAGUGAAAGAUUUAUUGGUAUAGGAGGAGUCUGCGGCACAUUAGCUAGUAGGUGAGGUAAAGGCUUACCUAGGCGACGAUGUGUAGCCGGUCUGAGAGGAUGAACGGCCACAAUGGAACUGAGACACGGUCCAUACUCCUACGGGAGGCAGCAGUGGGGAAUAUUGCACAAUGGGGGAAACCCUGAUGCAGCAACGCCGCGUGAGUGAAGAAGGUUUUCGGAUUGUAAAGCUCUGUUAGCAGGGAAGAGGAAGGACGGUACCUGCAGAGGAAGCCACGGCUAACUACGUGCCAGCAGCCGCGGUAAUACGUAGGUGGCAAGCGUUGUUCGGAAUAACUGGGCGUAAAGGAUGCGUAGGCGGUUAAACAAGUUAUAUGUUAAAUAUAUAGGCUUAACCUGUAGAAAGCAUAUAAAACUGUUUAACUAGAGUGCAGGAGAGGUAAGUGGAAUUCCUAGUGUAGCGGUGAAAUGCGUAGAGAUUAGGAAGAACACCAGUGGCGAAGGCGACUUACUGGACUGUAACUGACGCUGAGGCAUGAGAGCAUGGGGAGCAAACAGGAUUAGAUACCCUGGUAGUCCAUGCUGUAAACGAUGGGUACUAGGUGUGGGUUGUGAAUAACNAUUCGUGCCGUCGCAAACGCAAUAANUACCCCGCCUGAGGAGUACGAUCGCAAGAUUUAAACUCAAAGGAA
Molecule: ribosomal RNA, 830 nt
Filed under: uncultured bacterium
Lineage: Bacteria
Description: bacterial SSU rRNA
Rfam family: Bacterial small subunit ribosomal RNA
Source: RNAcentral